Molecule: ribosomal RNA, 214 nt
Filed under: uncultured prokaryote
Description: partial 16S ribosomal RNA
Rfam family: Bacterial small subunit ribosomal RNA
Source: RNAcentral
GACAGAGGGUGCAAACGUUGCUCGGAAUUACUGGGCGUAAAGCGCGUGUAGGCGGCUCUGUAAGUCUGGUGUGAAAGCCCUUCGCUCAACGAGGGAAGCGCAUCGGAAACUGCGGAGCUGGAGUCCUGGAGGGGAGAGCGGAAUUCUCGGUGUAGAGGUGAAAUUCGUAGAUAUCGGGAGGAACACCAGUGGCGAAGGCGGCUCUCUGGACAGG